AGAACGAACGCUGGCGGCAUGCCUAACACAUGCAAGUCGAACGAGACCUUCGGGUCUAGUGGCGCACGGGUGCGUAACGCGUGGGAAUCUGCCCUUGGGUUCGGAAUAACAGCGAGAAAUUGCUGCUAAUACCGGAUGAUGACGUAAGUCCAAAGAUUUAUCGCCCAAGGAUGAGCCCGCGUAGGAUUAGCUUGUUGGUGAGGUAAGAGCUCACCAAGGCGACGAUCCUUAGCUGGUCUGAGAGGAUGAUCAGCCACACUGGGACUGAGACACGGCCCAGACUCCUACGGGAGGCAGCAGUGGGGAAUAUUGGACAAUGGGCGAAAGCCUGAUCCAGCAAUGCCGCGUGAGUGAUGAAGGCCUUAGGGUUGUAAAGCUCUUUUACCCGGAUGAUAAUGACAGUACCGGAGAACAAGCUCCGGCUAACUCCGUACCAGCAGCCGC
This 444-nucleotide ribosomal RNA is filed under the name uncultured soil bacterium. Its description in RNAcentral is "bacterial SSU rRNA". It matches the Rfam family "Bacterial small subunit ribosomal RNA", at positions 26 to 518 of the family's 1533-position model. The record is from RNAcentral.